GGGAUUGUAGUUCAGGGGUAGAACGUUUCUUUCGCACUGUAAGGACCCUUCAAAAGGUUCCAGUCGAAACUUCGGCCGUAGAAAAGGUCCCCGGUUCAAAUCCGGGCAAUUCCA
Non-coding RNA from Orbilia brochopaga, 114 nucleotides. Lineage: Eukaryota; Fungi; Ascomycota; Orbiliomycetes; Orbiliales; Orbiliaceae. The record is from the annotation of a GenBank genome assembly.